GCAAUGAAAAAUGUAUAACCGUAGAAUGCUUUAUACUUGUUGUAUAGUUCUUCUUCAUCAAACUGAAGCGAACUGAAUUCUUCGGCGAUCUUAUUUCCCGCAUAUUUAUGAAGGAAGAUUUUCUGAGCUUCAAUCUUUGCAGCAAAGUAAUGCUCUGUCCAGCAAUUUUCCGGCAGAAUAAAUGUAGCGACGGGAAGAUAACCUGCUUUGUGUAUCUUGGCCACCUGACCCGGAAUCGUAUCUAUUUCAGGAUACGCAUUCACCCAGAAGUCAUUGAUUUCUGCAGGACGUUCGUCAGUAAACCACGAACUUUCAGAAACAGCAAUGUAUCCUCCCGGUUUCAAAUAUCUACGCCACUCAUUCAGUCCCCGUUCAAAACCAAUAUUAUAAAUGGCUCCUUCCGACCAGAUCAGGUCUAAUUCCUCAUUCUGAAAAGGAAGGUUAUCCAUAGAACCGACAAUGCCUUUCACUCUGUCCUGCAAACCCGCUUGCUUUGCAUUGCGAUUGAAGAUAUCAAUAAAGUCGGGAAAAAGGUCAAGUCCGGUGAUCUGCCCGGGAAUGUGUCCGGCCAAUACCAUUGUCUGUCCUCCAGUUCCACAGCCGAUGUCGGCUAUAAGGGAUUUGUCGGUGAGGUUAUCUAUAAAGCUCAGCGCUUUCAGUGUUACGUCAGGACUUCCGGGUCCUUGGCGUUCCAUAUUGGAGAAGAAGUCACAGAUUAAUUUAAGUUCGAAAUCGUGAAUUGUUUUAUUUUCGUUACUCAUUUUCUUAAUGUAUUUUGCAUACACGGAAAGCAUAACAAUGCCUUCAUCAUUGUACGCAGAUUAAACUUGAAUUAUAAUAAUAGAAAACUACUCUCGAAAGGAGUUAUCCGAGAGUAAACGAAGGGACAAUCUGUAUCAGAAACACAGAUUGUAGAGCCUUGGAGUCAGACUACGAGUGAUAAGAUCCGUGGUCAAAAGGGAAACAGCCCAGACCACCAGCUAAGGUCCCCAAUGUCGUACUAAGUGGAAAAGGAUGUGGGGUUUCAUAAACAACCAGGAUGUUGGCUCAGAAGCAGCCACCAUUUAAAGAGUGCGUAAUAGCUCACUGGUCGAGAGACCCUGCGCCGAAGAUUCCCGGGGCUAAAGUACGAAACCGAAGCUGUGGCUGUAUACGUAAAGUAUACGGGGUAGGGGAGCGUUCCCAUAGGGUAGAAGUCGAACUGGAAGGUUCGGUGGACUUGUGGGAAGUGAGAAUGUUGGUAUGAGUAGCGAAAAGAAAGGUGAGAAUCCUUUCCACCGAAAGCAUAAGGAUUCCUGAGCAACGAUCGUCGUCUCAGGGUAAGUCGGGACCUAAUCCGAGGCAGAGAGCGUAGGAGAUGGACAACUGGUUGAUAUUCCAGUACCGGUAGUAAUUGUUUGAGCAAUGGAGUGACACAGAAGGGCAGGCAAGCAUGCGAAUGGAAGAGCAUGUGUAAGCGUGUAGGGUGGUGCAUAGGCAAAUCCGUGCACUGAAAGCCUGAGGCGUGAUGCGGAGUGAGCAGAGAUGCGAGCGAAGUUGUUGACCCCACACUGUCGAGAAAAGCUUCUAGUGAGAGAGCUACCGCCCGUACCGUAAACCGACACAGGUAUGCGGGGAGAGAAUCCUAAGGUGCGCGGGAGAACCCUCGUUAAGGAACUCGGCAAAAUGUACCCGUAACUUCGGGAUAAGGGUAGCCACUGUUGUGAAGUCCCAUGCGGAUGGAGCAUAGAGUGGUCGCAGAGAAGAGGCCCAAGCGACUGUUUACCAUAAACACAGGUGCCUGCUAAAGCGAAAGCUGACGUAUAGGUGCUGACACCUGCCCAGUGCCGGAAGGUUAAGGAAGGAUGUUCGGAUUAGUCCAAAGCAUUCGACUGAAGCCCCGGUGAACGGCGGCCGUAACUAUAACGGUCCUAAGGUAGCGAAAUUCCUUGUCGGGUAAGUUCCGACCCGCACGAAAGGUGUAACGAUUUGGGCACUGUCUCAACGAGGGACCCGGUGAAAUUGAAAUACCUGUGAAGAUGCAGGUUACCCGCGACUGGACAGAAAGACCCCAUGGAGCUUUACUGUAACCUGACAUUGGGUUUUGAUACAUUACGUACAGGAUAGGUGGGAGGCAUGGAAAGCUGGACGCUAGUCUGGCUGGAGCCGCCGUUGGGAUACCACCCUUGAUGUAUUGAAAUUCUAACCGCGAGAGUAACGAAAUCCGGGACAGUGUCAGGCGGGCAGUUUGACUGGGGCGGUCGCCUCCGAAAGAGUAACGGAGGCGCCCAAAGGUUCCCUCAGCGCGGCCGGAAAUCGCGCGAAGAGUGUAAAGGCAGAAGGGAGCUUGACUGCGAGUCAAACACGACGAGCAGGUACGAAAGUAGGGCUUAGUGAUCCGGUGGUACCGAGUGGAAGGGCCAUCGCUCAACGGAUAAAAGCUACCCUGGGGAUAACAGGCUAAUCUCUCCCAAGAGUCCAUAUCGACGGGGAGGUUUGGCACCUCGAUGUCGGCUCAUCACAUCCUGGGGCUGAAGUCGGUCCCAAGGGUUGGGCUGUUCGCCCAUUAAAGUGGUACGUGAGCUGGGUUCAGAACGUCGUGAGACAGUUCGGUCCCUAUCCAUCGCGGGCGCAAGAGAUUUGAAGGGGGCUGCUCCUAGUACGAGAGGACCGGAGUGGACGAACCGCUGGUGUACCAAUUAUCCCGCCAGGGGUACAGUUGGGUAGCUACGUUCGGAAAGGAUAAACGCUGAAAGCAUCUAAGCGUGAAACCAGCCUUAAGAUGAGAUCUCUCAUAGAGCAAUCUAGUAAGACACCUUAAAGAAGAUGAGGUUGAUAGGUCGGGAGUGUAAGUACAGCAAUGUAUUGAGCGGACCGAUACUAAUAUGUCGAGGGCUUGACUUA
RNAcentral lists this ribosomal RNA (2883 nucleotides) under human gut metagenome. RNAcentral's name for it is "bacterial LSU rRNA". The stretch from base 627 to 2882 matches the Rfam family "Bacterial large subunit ribosomal RNA". The record is from RNAcentral.